UCCAUCGUGGUGUAUCGGCUAGCAUCGCUCGCUUUCACAGCAGCCACCCUAGGGACAUCCUAGAUCAUUCAUGGUCCCGAGCAGAGCCGGGUUCGACUCCCGGCGAUGGAA
This is a non-coding RNA of Teratosphaeriaceae sp. CCFEE 6253, 111 nucleotides long. The record is from the annotation of a GenBank genome assembly. Lineage: Eukaryota; Fungi; Ascomycota; Dothideomycetes; Mycosphaerellales; Teratosphaeriaceae.